Molecule: ribosomal RNA, 420 nt
Filed under: uncultured bacterium
Lineage: Bacteria
Description: bacterial SSU rRNA
Rfam family: Bacterial small subunit ribosomal RNA
Source: RNAcentral
UGGGGAAUAUUGGGCAAUGGGCGCAAGCCUGACCCAGCAACGCCGCGUGAAGGAAGAAGGCCCUCGGGUUGUAAACUUCUUUCGACAGGGACGAAGCUUUUGUGACGGUACCUGUAUAAGAAGCACCGGCUAACUACGUGCCAGCAGCCGCGGUAAUACGUAGGGUGCGAGCGUUGUCCGGAAUUACUGGGCGUAAAGAGCUCGUAGGUGGUUUGUCGCGUCGUCUGUGAAAUUCCGGGGCUUAACUCCGGGCGUGCAGGCGAUACGGGCAUAACUUGAGUGCUGUAGGGGAGAUUGGAAUUCCUGGUGUAGCGGUGAAAUGCGCAGAUAUCAGGAGGAACACCGAUGGCGAAGGCAGGUCUCUGGGCAGUAACUGACGCUGAGGAGCGAAAGCAUGGGUAGCGAACAGGAUUAGAUACC